CUUCCUCUGCCUCCGGUGGCUGCUGCCUGGUCAUCGCGGUGGUUCAGCGUGGCUGUUGCAGGUGUACGAUCCUCCUCAUUCAGGUGAUGCUCUCUGUUGGUCCUCCGUUGUGCGUCUGUGCAGAAAUGGGCAUUUUGGUGACGUGAUCUCCGCUCUUUGUGGUGCAAGCGGCUGCUGGGGCUGUGGGAGACGAAGCGCUCUGCCAGAUUCCCUCCCUGGAUGCGCUCACCUGUUCCUUCCAGUAAGUUCACAGUUGUGUGUCCAGCAGCUCUGUCGCUCAGUUCCCAGCUUAAUAUUCUUUGUGUUCUGGUGUGGCUGAGUGAUUGACCCGCAGCACGAGCCGUUAUCCCUCCAUCGCUCUGGGGCAUCACUGUAGCUUCGCAUCGUGGUGCUGUGGUCCCUGGUGGUGCCCCCCCUCCCUUCACGAGUGUCCAUUGUGUGUGUGAAUGCUGUUCCACAGGCGUUUUAAUUUACAGUUUGGAAGUUUGGAUGUCCCUGCUCAGGCAGCUGCCCCUGCGACUCGGCCCCAGAUAAGCAGAAGAAGAUGGAUGGAUGGAUGGACUAAAUAGUGUGGUAGUAUGGUUCAAUGGCCUGCAUCAUUGAAGAGUCAAUGCCUUCCCUCAGCCUGGUGGUACUAACUUCUGACUACCCCAGUAUAUCAGACACUGUUUCUGCAACAGCUGCCUAGCAGGUGGUCCACCCCUUAAAAAGAAAUCUAGUAACCAAUAUGUACACAAUAAUUAUACCACUUACUUACACCUGCUGGCAAAGUUCAUUUAAAUGCCUAUCACUCACCUGUGCGUGAAGAUACACGUUUAUCUCCUCUUUUGCUUUUGACUGCAACACAUACCACCGCUUCUCAAAUCCUCACUUGUCCGCACAACCAGUGGAAAGGAGGCAUUUAUCGGUUGUGCUAUGUUUCCCAUGCUUGCUUCUUGGCUUGUACUGUGACACUGUGGCAAAAUUUACCUCUCAAAACACUUUAUGCUCAUUGACCAAUUGAGCCAGAAGCAAACACUGUUCCUCUGUCCAGUUGGGUUUCCUUGUUCUUUUCUUCUCCAUUGCUGUUCACUGGUUUGUGGUAGAUUUGAAAGCCAGCCAACGCUGCUUCUUAUAGGCCGGUCAGCAAUCACAGAGAUUGAUGAAAGCUGAGCCAUUUUACCCUUGAUAAUGUUGAAAUGUUGAAAGUGCAAAAAUGACCAGCAUGGCAAUUAAUAUAA
Long non-coding RNA from Acanthopagrus latus (yellowfin seabream), 1220 nucleotides. RefSeq lists it as uncharacterized. Lineage: Eukaryota; Metazoa; Chordata; Actinopteri; Spariformes; Sparidae. The transcript is spliced from 3 exons. The record is from RefSeq and is a predicted model, not a curated record.